Molecule: ribosomal RNA, 268 nt
Filed under: Clostridium saccharobutylicum
Lineage: Bacteria; Bacillati; Bacillota; Clostridia; Eubacteriales; Clostridiaceae
Description: partial 23S ribosomal RNA
Rfam family: Bacterial large subunit ribosomal RNA
Source: RNAcentral
GGUCAAGCUACAAAGGGCGCAUGGUGAAUGCCUUGGCAUCAGGAGCCGAUGAAGGACGCGAUAAGCUGCGAUAAGCUUCGGGUAGACGCACAUAGUCAGAGAUCCGAAGAUUUCCGAAUGAGGAAACUCACAUGGGAAACCCCAUGUAUCAUAAAGUGAAUACAUAGCUUUAUGAAGGUAAACCCAGGGAACUGAAACAUCUAAGUACCUGGAGGAAGAGAAAGAAAAAUCGAUUUUCUUAGUAGCGGCGAGCGAAAAGGAAAGAGCC